This 276-nucleotide ribosomal RNA is filed under the name uncultured bacterium. Its description in RNAcentral is "partial 16S ribosomal RNA". It matches the Rfam family "Bacterial small subunit ribosomal RNA", at positions 335 to 600 of the family's 1533-position model. The record is from RNAcentral.
ACUCCUACGGGAGGCAGCAGUGGGAAUAUUGCACAAUGGGAAGCCAUCGAUGCAGCCAUGCCGCGCUGUGUGAAGAAGGCCAAUUCGGGCUUGGUAAGACACUUUCAGCGAGGAGGAAAGGGUGUGUGCUAAUACCAUACAUCUGUGACGUUACCUACAGAAGAAGCACCGGCUAACUCCGUGCCAGCAGCCGCGGUAAUACGGAGGGUGCGAGCGUUAAUCGGAAUUACUGGGCGUAAAGCGCAUGCAGGCGGCCUGUUAAGUCAGAUGUGAAAG